UUGAGGAGGCGGUGACCAUGGCAGUGUAGGUGGAAGCAGCGGUGGAGGAGGAGGAUAAGGUAGCCAACACUGUUUAUAUAUAUCUAUUUUUUAUUUUAAUUGGGGUAGCCGCCAAAAUAUUGGUACAUUUAAAAAAAGACAACUCUCUUCCGCAGAGUAGCUGUUGAUAUUAUAGUUGCGCAGGCACUUUGUUGAAUCUAGAGAACCUCAGGCCAAUUGCACAUCCUCGUGACAGCGACUUUGCAUUCGGAUGUCAUCCAUAUCAACUUUCGAUGCGCCUACCAUGGUGACCAUGGGUAACAGGGAAUCAGGGUUCCAUUCCAUAUAUGGACCCUGAGAAAUGGCUACCACAUGCAAGGAAGGCAGCAGGUGCCCAAAUGACCCACUCUCGACGCGAGAAGGUAGUGAUGACAAAUAACAAUACAGGACUUUUUAGAGGCCCUGUAAUUGUAAUGAGUCCACUUGAAAUCCUUUAACUCGGAUCAAUUGGAGGGAAGUCUGGUGCAGAGCCACUGACCCGUGCGUGCUGCAGCUGAAACUCCACU
Non-coding RNA from Pelobates cultripes (western spadefoot toad), 545 nucleotides. The record is from the annotation of a GenBank genome assembly. NCBI's taxonomy places the organism in Eukaryota, Metazoa, Chordata, Amphibia, Anura, Pelobatidae.